GAAAUUUUUUGGGUGGGGGUUUUCAGGGGUUUAACGUUCACCCUCCUGCCUCUCUGGCGGCCGGAGGACGGAGGGAGUGCAUCAUUGCCGUCAAUGAGCCUUUGCAGAAGGCGAUCCUUCCUGUUUUCCAGUCUACCUUCCUCUUUCAAUCCCUAAAAGCUUUCGUUCUCGUUGAAAAAUGACGUUCUUCAAUAUCAGAAGAACUUGCCAUCGGUUUUUCACGCGACCAACCAAAAUUUUCCGCAACCCUUCAAGGGCCUUCUUCAGUCCCGGCAUUGCUUGGCCCCAAUUUCCAGCGCCCAACUCGAUUAUUCCGAGAUUUCAAAGUUUCGACAGUCGAAUUGGCCGUUUUUUCUGCACAGACAGAGUGGUCUAUGAUCUCCUCGCGGAGGUAGAGAGAGAGAAGCAGCGGGAAAGAGAAGAGCGGCGACGCAGGGGGGAGCAGGUCGAUUACGCCGAAGAGGAGGAGGACUACAUGGGCGUGGGGCCGCUCAUAGAGAAGCUCAAGAAGAAGAGCGCAAAGGAAGCCAGGGAGGUCGAUGGGUUCGAGGAGUGGACGGAAUCGGAUAGCAGCGACGAUGAUGAUAGGUACUCGCCGGAGGAAUCAAACAAACGCGCUGACCUGUUCGAGAAGAAGUUCAAGAAGCACCAGGAGAUGAUCAAGAAUCUUGUUGAAGCAGAAACUUUUGAUGAUGCCUUCAAAUGGAUGAACAAAAUUGACAAAUUUGAGGAGAAACAUCUUUCACUACCACUGGAGUACAGGGUUAUUGGUGAGCUCAUUAAUCGACUCAAAGAAGCAACUGGAAAGGAUAGGUUCAUUCUCCUUCAAAAGUUGAAUCGUGCUGUAAGAUUAGUGGAAUGGAAGGAGGCCUAUGACCCAAACAAUCCGGCAAACUAUGGAGUCAUCCAACACGAGCAGGUUGGACCUUCUGUCGACCUUCUAGAACAUGCGGGAUUUGAAAAGGAGAAGCAAAUCAUUCAAGGAGCUGAAAAUGAUGACGACGACGAAGAUUUCCUUGAAGAUAAGGAUGAUGUGCUUUUAGAAAAGCUUAAUGCUAUUGACAGGCAGAUUGAACAGAAGCUUUUGGAGCUUGAUCAUACUUUUGGGAAGAAGGGUAAGGUUCUGGAGGAGGAGAUCAGAGAUCUGGCAGAGGAGAGAAACUCUUUGACUGAGAAAAAGAGAAGACCUUUGUACCGAAAGGGAUUUGAUGUCAAGCUGAUAGAUGUUAACCGGACGUGCAAAGUGACAAAGGGAGGGCAAGUAAUAAAGUAUACUGCUUUAUUAGCUUGUGGUAACUAUCAUGGGGUUAUUGGCUUUGCUAAAGCAAAAGGUCCUGCAGUUCCAAUUGCUCUUCAGAAGGCGUAUGAAAAAUGCUUCCAGAAUCUCCAUUACGUAGAAAGGUAUGAGGAUCAUACAAUUCCACAUGCCAUCCAGACAAACUAUAAGAAGACCAAGAUCUACUUGUGGCCUGCUCCAACAACUACUGGAAUGAAGGCAGGCAGGACAGUAGAAACUAUCCUACAUCUGGCUGGUUAUAAGAAUGUCAAAUCAAAGGUUAUUGGUUCCAGAAAUCCACAUAACACUGUCAAAGCGGUCUUCAAAGCUCUUAAUGCUAUUGAAACUCCAAAGGAUGUCCAGGAGAAGUUUGGUCGAACAGUUGUUGAGAAAUAUUUGCUUUAGUUGCUGCAGUUUUCCAGCAAACAAUGAUAUCUCCGGCGAAAUAACUGGUAGGCAUCAACUUGAAGGUUGCUGGAAGCGUUUGGGAAUUUGUGAGCAUUGUUUUUCUUCCGUCAAACCCUCCUACUAUCGGGCAACUCGUGUGGAGUCAUCUGCCCUUCUUCUAUGCCCUGCAUGUGACAUGUGAAACAUUCCUUGGUUGAUUAUAUCAGGGCUUCUCAAAAUGGAAGCUUUACAGAAAUGUCAGAUCUUAGGACUUGAUUCUUUCAGCCAAUCAGCUGGAGGGGAAAUGCACGACCUUGGCAAUCUUACUGGUGACCGCUAAGGAUCCCCUAUUUUGGCAGGCAAUGGAGGGGAGUGAAUGGCGAUGAAUGUAGUGGCUGUUUUUUUUUUCUCUUCCCAGAAGCAAAACGUGUAUACUUUCUUUCUUUUUUCCUCAAAUCCAAUUUUUGUGUAUAAACAUAAUCAGUGGGUAAAGUAUGCCACCCAUGCUUCUUGGUAGGAAGCAUAUGGUAUGCCCACUGAAGUUGGUCUGAAGUGGCCCAUGUAGAGUCUGGAAUAGAAUGUUUUGUUUGCAGGGUUAGGAUGUUAAACCAGAUUAACCAAUAUAUUAUAUCCCAACCUUUUUUGCUUAGAGAAGCUGCCUAAA
This is an RNA transcript of Nymphaea colorata (pocket water lily), 2327 nucleotides long. RefSeq lists it as uncharacterized. NCBI's taxonomy places the organism in Eukaryota, Viridiplantae, Streptophyta, Magnoliopsida, Nymphaeales, Nymphaeaceae. The record is from RefSeq and is a predicted model, not a curated record. The transcript is spliced from 11 exons.